CAAAGAACACCGAGCUGGCCUUGAGGGGACCAAAGGUAGGCAGCCCAGGGUUCAGCUCGUAAAUUGGAAAAGCGCAAAUGUACUCUGGAUGAGAAGGCACUGGCUCAGCCUCCAGGGAACAACGGGGCUGCUAUUCAUAGAAAAGCCUGCUAUUAGCAUCUGCCUGGCAUUUGAGUUAGGCUCACCUAACUGCCUUCCCCACAGAUAUUGCUGAGCUCAGUUGCUGAACACUGAGGGGCUGAGGUUGCACGCGACCGUUCAUGAUCAGCCCUCCACCCACUGUCCUGCUACCUGGAGAGUCACAGAGGUCCUAGUGUGGUCCUGAGCUGAGGGCAGGUGAGAAUCUGAGCCCAUCAUAGUCCAAAGUGGCCAGGGCAGUGGUUCUCCACCUUCCCAGUGCUGAGCCCCUUUAAUACACGUCCUCAUGCUGUGCUGACCCCAGUCAGAAAAUUAUUUUCAUUACUACUUUGUAACUGUAAUUUUGCUACUGUUAUGAAUUGUAAUGUAAAUACGGGUUAUUUGAAAUGUGACCCCUGUGAAAGUGUCAUUUGACCUCUGAAGGGGUCACAACCCACCAGUUGAAAACAGUUGGGCUAGGGAAUUUAAGCCUAUUAAACAAGGAUCCUUGGAGAGAGUGGCCCCAGUGCCUCACCAGAGACCCAGCUCCACUCCAUAGAAUCCUGAUGGUUCAGGUCCAUCUUGGGCCCAGAAAAAGAACUCCAGCUCUUAACCCAAAAGAAUGUGAUCUCAGGAGUCCCCAAGACCUGCGCACACCAGCAUAGCCAAGGUUGAUCUCCUGAAGGCUACUCUUUCCCUGAACUGCCUGCUUCACUAACCGUCACCAACCUGUGAGCCCAGAGUGACCUGUGUACCAUGAUGCUAGAGCCACAGUCUCAUCCAUCACUGUACCCCUCAGCUGCAGUUUGUCUGUGUUUCAUCAAGGAUACACCCAGAUGUAGUCUCUGAUGGAAGUAUUCCAUGCCUGUAUUUUCACAGUCCCACGUGUUAACACACAGCCA
This 1019-nucleotide long non-coding RNA is filed under the name Mus spicilegus (steppe mouse). Its description in RNAcentral is "lncRNA (ENSMSIG00000017776.1)". Lineage: Eukaryota; Metazoa; Chordata; Mammalia; Rodentia; Muridae. The record is from RNAcentral.